Molecule: long non-coding RNA, 299 nt
Filed under: Physcomitrium patens
Lineage: Eukaryota; Viridiplantae; Streptophyta; Bryopsida; Funariales; Funariaceae
Description: long non-coding RNA (PPAT_LNC000533)
Source: RNAcentral
GAAUAAUGCUCUAAAUCCUUAUUAAAAGAAGCUUUCAAAUACUCUCAUUUGGCCUUAUUAUUCCUUAAAACAUUUUCCAACCAUUCUAUACAUAAUUUAAUCAAUCCUAACACUCAUACACAUUCAUAAGAAUUUUAUAUUAUUUUUUGUUUUUAUUAUCUUCUAACUAAUAAUUUAAAAUCAGCCAAGAAUAAUUUUUCAUCUAUAAAUAAUUUUCAUCCACAAAUAAAAAUUCAUCCACUUAUGACGUUCAUCUACUCAAAAUUCCAUCCAAUUCAUCCAAUUCAUCCAAUUUUAAC